Molecule: long non-coding RNA, 495 nt
Filed under: Homo sapiens (human)
Lineage: Eukaryota; Metazoa; Chordata; Mammalia; Primates; Hominidae
Description: HSALNT0111879
Source: RNAcentral
CAAUAGGGUCUAAUCCUGUUUGGUCCUCAUUGGAUGUCUCUCCACUUGUAGGGGAAAAAACUGGAGAAUAAUGGUUGUGUCAUCAUGACAAACAACUGACAUAGUUGAGGCCAGUCGAAGGCCCAGAGCAACCCUGGUCCUGUAGUCAGAGACGACUUAUGAAAAUAAAUGAAUCUGGCUCAUUGACUUGAGUUCUUGUACCCAAACUGGAAAGGUGUGGUACCUGACACAGGAACAAAGUCUGUCUGAAAUCAGCUGUCCGGGAUGUCAUUUUCUCUAGUGCAGAGACUCGAUUGCCUAAAUUGGUAGCAGAGGUGGAUGUUUCCUAACAUGAUCUUCCUUGGCCAACAGUGACUGACAUCUGAGAUUCAGAGCCAGGGUUGAGUCCUCCUCACAGGGCGAGUUCUCUGACAAGGAAGUUUUGCAACCUAAUUUACAGCUGGAGCCAAGCUUGUCAGUGAGUGCCAGAGGGAAACUGUCGCAAUCGGCAGGCAA